This 259-nucleotide ribosomal RNA is filed under the name Ochrobactrum sp. BA131. RNAcentral describes it as "partial 16S ribosomal RNA". It matches the Rfam family "Bacterial small subunit ribosomal RNA", at positions 46 to 334 of the family's 1533-position model. Lineage: Bacteria; Pseudomonadati; Pseudomonadota; Alphaproteobacteria; Hyphomicrobiales; Brucellaceae. The record is from RNAcentral.
AGGCUUAACACAUGCAAGUCGAGCGCCCCGCAAGGGGAGCGGCAGACGGGUGAGUAACGCGUGGGAACGUACCUUUUGCUACGGAAUAACUCAGGGAAACUUGUGCUAAUACCGUAUGUGCCCUUCGGGGGAAAGAUUUAUCGGCAAAGGAUCGGCCCGCGUUGGAUUAGCUAGUUGGUGAGGUAAAGGCUCACCAAGGCGACGAUCCAUAGCUGGUCUGAGAGGAUGAUCAGCCACACUGGGACUGAGACCGGCCCAG